RNAcentral lists this ribosomal RNA (468 nucleotides) under uncultured bacterium. RNAcentral describes it as "partial 16S ribosomal RNA". It matches the Rfam family "Bacterial small subunit ribosomal RNA", at positions 28 to 507 of the family's 1533-position model. The record is from RNAcentral.
GACGAACGCUGGCGGCGUGCUUAACACAUGCCAGUCGAACGGAAAGGCCCUGCUUUUGUGCGGUGCUCGAGUGGCGAACGGGUGAGUAACACGUGAGUAACCUGCCCUUGACUUUGGGAUAACUUCAGGAAACUGGGGCUAAUACCGGAUAGGAGCUCCUGCUGCAUGGUGGGGGUUGGAAAGUUUCGGCGGUUGGGGAUGGACUCGCGGCUUAUCAGCUUGUUGGUGGGGUAGUGGCUUACCAAGGCUUUGACGGGUAGCCGGCCUGGGAGGGUGACCGGCCACAUUGGGACUGAGAUACGGACCAGACUGCUACGGGAGGCAGCAGUGGGGAAUAUUGCACAGUGGGCGGAAGCCUGAUGCAGCAACGCCGCGUGCGGGAUGACGGCCUUCGGGUUGUAAACCGCUUUCGCCUGUGACGAAGCGUGAGUGACGGUAAUGGGUAAAGAAGCACCGGCUAACUACGUG